UUGUAAACAAACAAGUUAAGGGCAAGA
Molecule: non-coding RNA, 27 nt
Filed under: Homo sapiens (human)
Lineage: Eukaryota; Metazoa; Chordata; Mammalia; Primates; Hominidae
Source: RNAcentral